CGUGCAGGCGGUUUCGUAAGUCGGACGUGAAAGCUCCUGGCUUAACUGGGAGAGGCCGUUCGAUACUGCGGGACUUGAGGUUGGGAGAGGGACGUGGAAUUCCCGGUGUAGUAGUGGAAUGCGUAGAUAUCGGGAGGAACACCAGUGGCGAAGGCGGCGUCCUGGCCCACACCUGACGCUGAGACGCGAAAGCGUGGGUAGCGAACG
RNAcentral lists this ribosomal RNA (207 nucleotides) under uncultured bacterium. Its description in RNAcentral is "partial 16S ribosomal RNA". It matches the Rfam family "Bacterial small subunit ribosomal RNA", at positions 568 to 774 of the family's 1533-position model. The record is from RNAcentral.